GGUCACUGCAGUGUCUUCUCCCUUCAAAAGAUCCAACUGAUGCUGAGGUAGAAAUUGAAUGUCGGCGCCCCCUAAUCCUCCUCUGCGGACUCUUGGGAGGAUGUCUCUUCAGUCUCCUGAGCAGGCUUCUUCUGAACGACUUGUUGUGGCCAUUUCCUAGGUCUGCCUCUUGGCCGUUUUUUCUCCAAUGGUCUCUGCUUUCUUCUGGGCUGCUUUAGAGGGACUCUUGUUUUUGCUGCCUUUGGGUCUUCCUCUGGGUCUCUUAGGAGAGGGCUCACAGGAGCUUAGGAGGUUGGCUCUUGCUGCUGCUUCCUGGGUCGGCCGCGUCCUCGCUUCUGUGGCACCUGGGCGGCAGGUUGCCCCUGGGCUGAUGUGGAAGGCUGCCCGGCGCCCUCACCGCGUGCGCUCAUCCUGCCUCCCGCCGCCGCUACCACUGCCUCCGCCGGUACCGCCACUGCAGCCGCUCGGCCUCCACCGCCCCGGAUCCGCCCAGCACCUUUCGGUAGACGGGAUGGAGAGAGCUGGAGAGGGCAAGAGCAGCGAGAGCAGGCGAGCUGGCGUGUGCGCCUGGGACUGCUGCUGCUUAGGCUGCCGCCGCUGCCACCAUCCUGCAUCACUGUUAAGGGAAGUGGAAACUUGAGGGUUCUUUGGAAAGUCGGUGGGAUGGUGUUUUGCUGGGGCAAACACGUGAAGGAAUGUUGCCGUUGCGUUAAAGUGGACACAGGUGUGAAAGGCUAAGGCAGACUCCUGAAGAAACGUUUUGUUGAAGCUGACACAGGAGAGAGGAUGUUCUGCUAAAGCAAGAAAGGAUACCUGAUGAAGGAUUCUUCGAUAACAACAUGCAUGUACUGGUCAGCUUUACAUUGUGUAGUUGAGCUGUAUUUUGCCAGGACGCCAUAGAGAGAAAUGCACCAAAAAACUUCUGGUGGUGUGCUGCAGCUUCUUGAUGCUUCCAAGGACUCGGGCUGAUUGGCAGAGUGAUGCCAGCUGAGACAGGCGAUUGUGCUGAGGCAAGGCAUGUGGAGGACACGUGAUCUAUGGAGGGACUAAAUAGAACUUGACGGACAGUGGCAGAGGCUGAGCUUGGCUUGUUUAGAGAGCUAGCUGUGCAACAGUUUGUCAGUCUCGCAGCAUUGCUGAUCACUGCUGAGAGGAGAGGCACAACCAGGAACUUCUCAGGGCAUUCCUCUGGGUCCUUCCUGCUGACUCAAGCUGAAGCUAUGGCCAGGUUAUCUCUGCUAGGUCAUGUCUCCACUGUUGAUUCGUGUUUGCUAUCCCAACUCUACUGAACUGCACUGCUGUGUAUCUGUGAAAAGUUUGUUGCCGCCAUCUGCUAACCUGUAAACUGAACUGCAGAUUUCCAGACAACACAGACAGGAGUUGCUCCAAAGAAGUUUUCUAAACAGGUCCACUUCCCCCAUAUCCUUUCUUUCCCACCUUCUGUUGGGUGGUGGGCUAAAAGAGGGUUAACUCAUUUAAGAAUUUGAAAAAUUAAAGUUACAAUUAACAG
Molecule: RNA transcript, 1510 nt
Organism: Mus musculus (house mouse)
Lineage: Eukaryota; Metazoa; Chordata; Mammalia; Rodentia; Muridae
Gene: Hmga2-ps1
Gene name: high mobility group AT-hook 2, pseudogene 1
Exons: 1
Source: RefSeq, marked validated